AGUGAACGCUGGCGGUAGGCCUAACACAUGCAAGUCGAACGGCAGCACAGUAAGAGCUUGCUCUUACGGGUGGCGAGUGGCGGACGGGUGAGGAAUACAUCGGAAUCUACUUUUUCGUGGGGGAUAACGUAGGGAAACUUACGCUAAUACCGCAUACGACCUACGGGUGAAAGCAGGGGAUCUUCGGACCUUGCGCGAUUGAAUGAGCCGAUGUCGGAUUAGCUAGUUGGCGGGGUAAAGGCCCACCAAGGCGACGAUCCGUAGCUGGUCUGAGAGGAUGAUCAGCCACACUGGAACUGAGACACGGUCCAGACUCCUACGGGAGGCAGCAGGGGGGAAUAUUGGACAAUGGGCGCAAGCCUGAUCCAGCCAUACCGCGUGGGUGAAGAAGGCCUUCGGGUUGUAAAGCCCUUUUGUUGGGAAAGAAAAGCAGCAGGUUAAUACCCCGCUGUUCUGACGGUACCCAAAGAAUAAGCACCGGCUAACUUCGU
RNAcentral lists this ribosomal RNA (491 nucleotides) under uncultured bacterium. RNAcentral describes it as "partial 16S ribosomal RNA". It matches the Rfam family "Bacterial small subunit ribosomal RNA", at positions 29 to 506 of the family's 1533-position model. The record is from RNAcentral.